GAUGAACGCUGACGGCGUGCCUAAUACAUGCAAGUCGAGCGAACGGACGAGAGGCUUGCUUCUCUGAUGUUAGCGGCGGACGGGUGAGUAACACGUGGAUAACCUACCUAUAAGACUGGGAUAACUUCGGGAAACCGGAGCUAAUACCGGAUAAUAUUUUGAACCGCAUGGUUCAAAAGUGAAAGACGGUCUUGCUGUCACUUAUAGAUGGAUCCGCGCUGCAUUAGCUAGUUGGUAAGGUAACGGCUUACCAAGGCAACGAUGCAUAGCCGACCUGAGAGGGUGAUCGGCCACACUGGAACUGAGACACGGUCCAGACUCCUACGGGAGGCAGCAGUAGGGAAUCUUCCGCAAUGGGCGAAAGCCUGACGGAGCAACGCCGCGUGAGUGAUGAAGGUCUUCGGAUCGUAAAACUCUGUUAUUAGGGAAGAACAUAUGUGUAAGUAACUGUGCACAUCUUGACGGUACCUAAUCAGAAAGCCACGGCUAACUACGUG
RNAcentral lists this ribosomal RNA (497 nucleotides) under uncultured bacterium. Its description in RNAcentral is "partial 16S ribosomal RNA". It matches the Rfam family "Bacterial small subunit ribosomal RNA", at positions 28 to 507 of the family's 1533-position model. The record is from RNAcentral.